Molecule: ribosomal RNA, 370 nt
Filed under: uncultured bacterium
Lineage: Bacteria
Description: bacterial SSU rRNA
Rfam family: Bacterial small subunit ribosomal RNA
Source: RNAcentral
ACGUAGGGUCCAAGCGUUGUCCGGAUUUACUGGGUGUAAAGGGUGCGUAGGCGGACUUGUGCGUCAGAGGUUAAAUGUCACAGCUCAACUGUGAACCUGCCUUUGAUACGGCAAGUCUAGAGUACGAGAGAGGAUGGUAGAAUUCUUGGUGUAGCGGUGAAAUGCGUAGAUAUCAAGAGGAAUACCAGUGGCGAAGGCGGCCAUCUGGCUCGUAACUGACGCUGAGGCACGAAAGCGUGGGGAGCGAACAGGAUUAGAUACCCUGGUAGUCCACGCCCUAAACGAUGUAUGCUUGGUGUUGGAGACCUAGUCUUCAGUGCCGUAGGAAACCCGUUAAGCAUACCACCUGGGGAGUACGAUCGCAAGUUUG